This 259-nucleotide ribosomal RNA is filed under the name uncultured bacterium. Its description in RNAcentral is "partial 16S ribosomal RNA". It matches the Rfam family "Bacterial small subunit ribosomal RNA", at positions 793 to 1055 of the family's 1533-position model. The record is from RNAcentral.
GUCCACGCCGUAAACGAUGGAUACUAGCUGUUGGGGAGCAAUCUCAGUGGCUAAGCGAAAGUGAUAAGUAUCCCACCUGGGGAGUACGUUCGCAAGAAUGAAACUCAAAAGGAAUUGACGGGGGGCCCGCACAAGCGGUGGAGCAUGUGGUUUAAUUCGAUGAUACGCGAGGAACCUUACCAAGGCUUAAAUGUAGAUUGACCGGUUUGGAAACAGUAUCUUUCGCAAGACAAUUUACAAGGUGCUGCAUGGUUGUCGU